UGGGGAAUAUUGCACAAUGGGCGCAAGCCUGAUGCAGCCAUGCCGCGUGUAUGAAGAAGGCCUUCGGGUUGUAAAGUACUUUCAGCGGGGAGGAAGGCGAUAAGGUUAAUACCCUUGUCGAUUGACGUUACCCGCCGAAGACGCACCGGCUAACUCCGUGCCAGCAGCCGCGGUAAUACGGAGGGUGCAAGCGUUAAUCGGAAUUACUGGGCGUAAAGCGCACGCAGGCGGUCUGUCAAUUCGGAUGUGAAAUCCCCGGGCUCAACCUGGGAACUGCAUUCGAAACUGGCAGGCUAGAGUCUUGUAGAGGGGGGUAGAAUUCCAGGUGUAGCGGUGAAAUGCGUAGAGAUCUGGAGGAAUACCGGUGGCGAAGGCGGCCCCCUGGACAAAGACUGACGCUCAGGUGCGAAAGCGUGGGGAGCAAACA
This 427-nucleotide ribosomal RNA is filed under the name uncultured bacterium. RNAcentral describes it as "partial 16S ribosomal RNA". It matches the Rfam family "Bacterial small subunit ribosomal RNA", at positions 355 to 774 of the family's 1533-position model. The record is from RNAcentral.